AGAAGAAUCUAAAUUUCUUCAAAUUUUGAUAGAAAAUACUUUAAACUACAUAGAUUAAGGUUAACAUUCUCGAUCGUGAAUUUAAAAGUCCUAUGCUCAAAUUUUAAAGAGUAUUCAAUUUCCACCGUCUAUUUUGACAUAAUUUAUUUACUAAGUAAACGAUAUCGAAAAAAAAUAAAAUUUUAUUUCUAAGAACUUCAUAUACCCGGUGUGGAUCGUUGAUUUGAACGCCCUAAGAUCGAAAACAAUGUUAUAGUACCGAAGCUCUGGUACUAUACAUAGUAUAUAGAGAUGUCAACGGGUCGGAUUCGGGGCGGAUUUUUAAAAAUCCGAACCCGAACCCGACUCCAAACCCGAGACCCGAACCCGAACCCAAACCCGACGGAUUUUAAAAAUCUAUAUCCAAAUCCGAACCCGACCAAAAAUCCGAAACCUGAACCCGAACCCGAACCCGAAAAUUUGAACCCGAAACAAUUAUUUUUUUUUUAAUAUUUAAAAAUAUAUUAUAUUAAAUCAAGCUUUUUAAAAUACAAAUUCAAAUAUAACAUCAAAUUUUUAUUUAUAUAUAUAUAUAUUAUAUAUAAUACAAAAUAAAUUCGGGUUUGGUUCGGGUUCGGGUCGGGUUCGGGUUCCGGUUGGGUACAAUCAAAAUCCAUAUCCAAAUCCAUAUCCGUCGGGUUUCUAUU
Molecule: long non-coding RNA, 686 nt
Filed under: Ananas comosus (pineapple)
Lineage: Eukaryota; Viridiplantae; Streptophyta; Magnoliopsida; Poales; Bromeliaceae
Description: long non-coding RNA (ACOM_LNC007788)
Source: RNAcentral